This 258-nucleotide ribosomal RNA is filed under the name uncultured bacterium. RNAcentral describes it as "partial 16S ribosomal RNA". It matches the Rfam family "Bacterial small subunit ribosomal RNA", at positions 1234 to 1500 of the family's 1533-position model. The record is from RNAcentral.
CAGGUACAGAGGGAUGCUACCGGGCGACCGGAUGCGGAUCUCGAAAGCCUGUCCCAGUUCGGACUGGAGUCUGCAACCCGACUCCACGAAGUUGGAUUCGCUAGUAAUCGCGCAUCAGCCAUGGCGCGGUGAAUACGUUCCCGGGCCUUGUACACACCGCCCGUCAAGCCAUGGGAGCCGGGGGCGCCUGAAGUCCGGGACCGCGAGGACCGGCCUAGGGCGAAACUGGUAACUGGGGCUAAGUCGUAACAAGGUAUC